UAGACAGAAAAGGGUGGAAUGGUA
RNAcentral lists this non-coding RNA (24 nucleotides) under Rattus norvegicus (Norway rat). The record is from RNAcentral. Lineage: Eukaryota; Metazoa; Chordata; Mammalia; Rodentia; Muridae.